AUUACACUUCAGAAGAUAUUCAUGUUAAAGAAUCCUACCGGAUAUCCAAAAUACAGGAAGUAUAUAUGGAUUAUCAUGAUGGAUUUUAGCUUGAAGUUUGAGGAUGAUAGGGAAUAUAAAUUAAAGAGGAAGUAGAUAUGGAUUAUCAUGAUGGAUCAUAGCUUGAAGUUGAAGAUGACAGAGAAUAUAAGUCAAAGAUCAUUGCUAUAUGGUAUUACACCGAGAGGGCGGCUGCCGGUGUCUGUCACAUAAUUGUUGUAGUGUUUCUGUUGUGUAAGAUGAUCUUAGUGUAUUUGAAGAGGCUCCAAAAGCAAAAGCUAGCAAGGAUUUAUAUGGGCG
Long non-coding RNA from Erigeron canadensis, 339 nucleotides. RefSeq lists it as uncharacterized. The transcript is spliced from 6 exons. Lineage: Eukaryota; Viridiplantae; Streptophyta; Magnoliopsida; Asterales; Asteraceae. The record is from RefSeq and is a predicted model, not a curated record.